CUGCAGGUGCUGACUCGCAACCCUACUCAGAGGGGAGUCGAUCAUCUUCCUUUGUGGACGCAGAAGAGCGGCGAGUCCUCAGGAUGGCAGAUGGGUCGCAUCGCCGUGCCCCACAAGAAUAGGGUGAUCUUCCGGGCAACCGUCGGUCCUCCCUCAAGGCCAGCGUUCGUCGCACUGGAUGAUAUCGCAAUCGUGCACCAAGAUCGGUGCGAGACCUUCCCGAAAGGCAGCGAGGCCCUUUCCCCAACGGAGCUGCUGACUUGCGAUUUCCAAGACUGGAACUUGUGCAAAUGGUCGUCGCUUGGCUCUUCGAUACCAAAGUGGAGGUUUCGUUUCGACCGAUCCUUAAACCUCGGUCCUGUUUCAUAUCCCAUUAAAAAAGG
Molecule: long non-coding RNA, 383 nt
Organism: Rhipicephalus sanguineus (brown dog tick)
Lineage: Eukaryota; Metazoa; Arthropoda; Arachnida; Ixodida; Ixodidae
Exons: 3
Source: RefSeq, a predicted model, not a curated record